GCUACUAUGGCCGAGUGGUUAAGGCGUUGGACUUGAAAUCCAAUGGGAUCUUCCCGCGUAGGUUCGAACCCUACUCGCAGCG
Molecule: transfer RNA, 82 nt
Filed under: Lytechinus variegatus (green sea urchin)
Lineage: Eukaryota; Metazoa; Echinodermata; Echinoidea; Temnopleuroida; Toxopneustidae
Description: tRNA-Ser
Rfam family: tRNA
About the family: Transfer RNA (tRNA) molecules are approximately 80 nucleotides in length.
Source: RNAcentral